UUUUACGGGAGGCAGCAGGUGGGGAAUAUUGCAACAAGUGGGACGAAAGCCUGAUGCAGCAACGCCGCGUGAACGAUGAAGGUCUUCGGAUCGUAAAGUUCUGUUGCAGGGGAAGAUAAUGACGGUACCCUGUGAGGAAGCCCCGGCUAACUACGUGCCAGCAGCCGCGGUAAUAAAA
This 178-nucleotide ribosomal RNA is filed under the name uncultured bacterium. RNAcentral's name for it is "partial 16S ribosomal RNA". It matches the Rfam family "Bacterial small subunit ribosomal RNA", at positions 337 to 528 of the family's 1533-position model. The record is from RNAcentral.